RNAcentral lists this ribosomal RNA (403 nucleotides) under uncultured bacterium. RNAcentral describes it as "partial 16S ribosomal RNA". It matches the Rfam family "Bacterial small subunit ribosomal RNA", at positions 29 to 526 of the family's 1533-position model. The record is from RNAcentral.
AGUGAACGCUGGCGGCGUGCCUAAUACAUGCAAGUCGAACGGAGUGGGCACGGGUGAGUAACACGUGGGUAACCUCCCAUCAGAGGGGAUAACACUUGGAAACAGGUGCUAAACCGAUACUGAUGGAUGGACCCGCGGUGCAUUAGCUAGUUGGGGAGGUAACGGCUCACCAAGGCCACGAUGCAUAGCCGACCGUAGAGGGGGAGCGACCAGACUGUGGCUGAGACACUGCCCCGACUCCUACGCGAGGCAGCAUUAGGACAUCGUCGGCAAUGGACGAAAGUCUGACCCAGCAACGGCGCGUGAGUGAAGAAGCUUUUCGGAUCGUAAAACUCUGUUGUGAGAUAAGCGGUAUCUAAGCGGAAAGCCACGGCUAACUACGUGCCAGCAGCCGCGGUAAUUC